RNAcentral lists this ribosomal RNA (233 nucleotides) under uncultured bacterium. RNAcentral describes it as "partial 16S ribosomal RNA". It matches the Rfam family "Bacterial small subunit ribosomal RNA", at positions 118 to 351 of the family's 1533-position model. The record is from RNAcentral.
UGAGUAAUCUGCCCUUAACUCUGGGAUAAGCCUGGGAAACUGGGGCUAAUACCGGAUAUGACUCCUCAUCGCAUGGUGGGGGUGGAAAGCUUUUUGUGGUUUUGGAUGGACUCGCGGCCUAUCAGCUUGUUGGUGAGGUAAUGGCUCACCAAGGCGACGACGGGUAGCCGGCCUGAGAGGGUCGACCGGCCACACUGGGACUGAGACACGGCCCAGACUCCUACGGGGGGCAG